GGUAAAGUGGCCGAGCAGGUGGUGGGUUGUAGCCCCGAAGACGGAGGUUCAAGCCCUCCCUUUACCA
Molecule: transfer RNA, 67 nt
Filed under: Quasipaa spinosa (Chinese spiny frog)
Lineage: Eukaryota; Metazoa; Chordata; Amphibia; Anura; Dicroglossidae
Description: tRNA-Tyr
Rfam family: tRNA
About the family: Transfer RNA (tRNA) molecules are approximately 80 nucleotides in length. Their secondary structure includes four short double-helical elements and three loops (D, anti-codon, and T loops). Further hydrogen bonds mediate the characteristic L-shaped molecular structure. tRNAs have two regions of fundamental functional importance: the anti-codon, which is responsible for specific mRNA codon recognition, and the 3' end, to which the tRNAs corresponding amino acid is attached (by aminoacyl-tRNA synthetases). tRNAs cope with the degeneracy of the genetic code in two manners: having more than one tRNA (with a specific anti-codon) for a particular amino acid; and 'wobble' base-pairing, i.e. permitting non-standard base-pairing at the 3rd anti-codon position.
Source: RNAcentral